Molecule: long non-coding RNA, 1513 nt
Filed under: Fukomys damarensis (Damara mole-rat)
Lineage: Eukaryota; Metazoa; Chordata; Mammalia; Rodentia; Bathyergidae
Description: lncRNA (ENSFDAG00000031711.1)
Source: RNAcentral
CCCACCCUAGGAUGCUCACCCCCUCUGCCAGGACAUGUACUGCCAUGGUGGGGCAGUGCUGCAGUGGGGGUCGUGCCUGACUUGUGACAGGUUUUCCUUGUCUCUGAAAGUGGCCUAAAAAAUUAGCUGCUGAUCGGUUUUAAAUGGAAGGGGAGAUAGUCACAUAAAAUAUAGAUUUACAACUUUCUUCUGAAGAUCAUGCAGCCCAGACACCUCACUGUCUGCUCCAAGACUGUGCUGUACUCCCUGCUGGUCCUUCUCACCCAGCCCAGUAAAGCUCUUAGGAGGGCUGUGUCACCUCAGCGCGGGCGCCCCAGGCCAGGGGAUGUGUCCUGCUGCUCUGUAACCAGAGUGAGAAACUUAAAAUUGCUCAGAGUUAUUACAAAUCACUGUAAAGCCCUGAAUUUCAAUCCCACCCACCACUCUAGGCAGUGUGGGCCUAAAGAGGAAAUAAAAGGGCUGCCUCUUAAUCCUUGUAACUCUCAAAAGUUGGUUUAACAGUAGUGCAUACCUCAGGGUUGUUUAAAAGGCAUUAAGAUUAAGGAUCAGGCCCUGGUACAGGCAGAGUUAGCAGAGAGCACCCUUUUUUUUUCUGGGUUUAAGAAAAAAAAUCAACUAUUUUGUGUGACAGAAGAAACCAACACAAGGUCCAAGGGUGAGGAACAGACCAGGAGGCACAGCACAAUAACAUCUGUCACCAGUAAAGGACAGUGUCCUAAGGGCCUACUGCAGAUCAGACAGGAGGGCCACGCAGGCAGUGACACAGCCCCAGACCAGGCAGGAAGUUAUUCAGAGGUGUCCAUCAGCAUCUCACCACUAGGACAGAGCACAGAGAAAAACCACUUGAAGAGGGAGUGCUUGACCUGGCUCCUGUUCCCAGGAGCCUUCCGUGGGCACCGAUCUGCAAGGCCUGGCAGAGGGGCCAGGCAGCCAGCUGCUCCCCACAGUGUCUCGGGCAUGGAGAGAGGAAGAGAGGUGCGGCCUGGGACGGGACACGGCCUCCAGGUCCCCAGGUCCUCCUUCCACCAACCUCACGAACCCAGCCGUGGGUUCCCCCAGGCACAAGAACCUGGUGCUGGGGAGAUUUGGGACAGCGAGACCAACUGAAACAUAAGUGCUGGGGUCAUUUGCGGGAGAUGGACAAUGUCUGGAAAAUCCUGACCUUUAACCCAGCUGUCAGUCUAGAAGGUCCUUUGACCUUUGACCCACCACUUCCUUCCUGAGCAUCUGUUCUGAGAAACAUCUAGUGAAGAUGGGAGAGGUGGCAUGGAUGAGGGUGUUUCCUGGGUCAUUAAUGAAAAAUAAAAACGAAUAAAGUAAUUGUCAGUCCGGAGGGGACUCAUGUGAGAACUAAGGGGUCUCAUGAUUCAGCUGUGGCGGGUGGUGCAGGCCUGUAAUCCCAGCACUCUGGGAGGCCGGGGCAGGAGGAUGGCAAUUUCUAGCCUAGCCUGGGCAACCUAGCAACUUAGUGAGAUUCUGGCUCAAAAGAAAAACUAAAGAGGACUGUCAGUGU